CCGGCGCACGGGUGAGUAACGCGUAUGCAACUUACCUAUCAGAGGGGGAUAACCCGGCGAAAGUCGGACUAAUACCGCAUGAAGCAGGGGCCCCGCAUGGGGAUAUUUGCUAAAGAUUCAUCGCUGAUAGAUAGGCAUGCGUUCCAUUAGGCAGUUGGCGGGGUAACGGCCCACCAAAGCGACGAUGGAUAGGGGUUCUGAGAGGAAGGUCCCCCACAUUGGAACUGAGACACGGUCCAA
RNAcentral lists this ribosomal RNA (240 nucleotides) under uncultured bacterium. Its description in RNAcentral is "partial 16S ribosomal RNA". It matches the Rfam family "Bacterial small subunit ribosomal RNA", at positions 95 to 334 of the family's 1533-position model. The record is from RNAcentral.